GCCCGGUUAGCUCAAUCGGUAGAGCGUGAGACUCUUAAUCUCAAGGUUGCGGGUAAGUUGUUCUCCUACCAAGAAAAAAUCAGUAGCAACAAAAUUCGCUAACAUCAACAACCAGGUUCGACCCCCGCAUUGGGCU
This is a non-coding RNA of Hypoxylon argillaceum, 136 nucleotides long. The record is from the annotation of a GenBank genome assembly. NCBI's taxonomy places the organism in Eukaryota, Fungi, Ascomycota, Sordariomycetes, Xylariales, Hypoxylaceae.